This 45-nucleotide non-coding RNA is filed under the name Trichobilharzia regenti. The record is from RNAcentral. Lineage: Eukaryota; Metazoa; Platyhelminthes; Trematoda; Strigeidida; Schistosomatidae.
AUGUAGCUGAAGAGUACCAGAUAGGACGAGAUGCGCAUCCUGGAU